GGCUGAGCCAAAUAUGUCUAGUGGUCCUGAAGUCCCGAUGUUGAGUGGUCCUCAACUGAAUCCUUCUUGACGUCAUUACUUUUCUAGGACAAUGAGCUUGGCCCAUUUAAAAGCUACCAAGUUCCCCUCGGCAUUGUCCUGGUGUUGGUAGGUCUUCUCCAUGAACCUUCGUGUGGAUGGGGUUCUUUAUUCAGUCGGCAUAUUUCUGGUCCAUUGCUGCAACUCAGUCCAUCCAACCUGGCAAAACCGUUGAUGUCCACAUACAGUAACAUUUGCUGCGUUCUUACGUCAACAGCUACUGGAUGGGACAGGAGGAUGUAGCACCUUGGAAACAUCUUGACUAAUUAAGGACAUUUUUAUGCCAAUGGACUUCUAUCUGCCCAUGGACCUGUAAUAGUAAGCCAGGGUAUACCUGGUAAUUCUAUUCAACCACAUUGUAUAACCCAAACUGCCAGUUCAACUUCAGUAAUCUUAACCAUCAAGAUGAUCUGUAACUAUCAUA
This is a long non-coding RNA of Seriola aureovittata, 502 nucleotides long. RefSeq lists it as uncharacterized. The transcript is spliced from 3 exons. The record is from RefSeq and is a predicted model, not a curated record. Lineage: Eukaryota; Metazoa; Chordata; Actinopteri; Carangiformes; Carangidae.